AUGUCGUCCCCGCCGCCCAUGCCUGGAAGGGAGGAGAUCGCCGGCGCCAAGGCGCCGCGUCCGCUCGCUGCGGACACCACCGGCGCAGGGGGAGACGCCGGAGGUGUCGCCGAGGCAAGCCAAGCAGCGUCCGGCGGUGAGGCCAAAGCGACGCCGUCGCCAGCGACUAUCUGCCCUUGCUGCACGGAGCCGUGGACCAGCGACGGCCCUCAUCGCAUGUGUUGCAUUCCUUGUGGGCAUGUGUAUGGCAGAUCUUGUAUGGAGACGUUGCUGCGUCGUUCUGGCCAGAAUAGUGCCAAGGAAAUUAAUGCGUUCUACGAGCAUAUAUUUGUUGCAGUAAGGGCAACGUGUAUUGAUAUUCAACAAUGGUUUAGAGAACGCGUUGCUCAGAUGGAGAGAAUAGUGAACAAAAAGGUGACAAUGGCUAAGGCCAACUUGAUGUUAAUGAAGGACCGGUUGAAGAAGAUGGCUGAACAAGAGAAGAUCGUGCCGAAGGAUAUGAUAGUGUUCAUGGAGCAGAAUUGCCCUCAGCUGAUGAUUUGUGUGUCGUGCGUGUUCUCGUCAUUACCCGCACCAGGUAUGGUAGGCGGGGACGAGGUUGCCAAUGUCGAAAUAGUGGUCAGAGAGGGGCCAUGUCCGCAUACUGUGGAAGCCAGUGAAUGGGGUGGCAGAGGCAACGAGUUAAAUCAUACUGCAUCUGGUUCGGGCGAGGAGACCGACGACUCAUACAGAGGCAGUAUCUACUUGGGCGAAUAUAAUGCGAACAUCUCCAACAUGGAGGCUUCUGCUGAAGGGAGGGAAGGCGUUGAGGCCAAGGCACCAGCAAGGCCAACCUGCUCUAUCUGUCUGGAACCCUGGACCUCCACGGGCAAGCAUCACAUCUGUUGCAUUCCUUGCGGGCACGUCUACGGCAGGUCGUGCCUAACAAGGUGGCUCAUGGAUCAGCUUUCAAGGAAUGAGAAUAUGAAGGAAGUGCAUGAGUAUUAUGAUGCUAAGUUGGCCGAGUUUGAGGCAUCGAGGGAAGAAUGUAAUGUAUUUGCAGAAUUGCAUUCUCAGUAUGAUCUGCUGAGUGCACAAGCGAAGUUUCGGGAUGAGCUGCGUGCACUAAUUAUCCUUGAAAUUGCUGAGAUUGAAAGAGCGAUGAUGGAACACGUGGCAAAGGCUAACGGUAGCUUGCUGUUGAUGAAAGAGCAGAUGAAGAAGAUGGCUGAAGAAGACAUGGCGACAACUGAGCAUCUAAUUGGAUUCGUGGAACAGACUUGCCAUUGCCUCGCCUCUUUCCUACCCUACCCAAGCUACCCAUAUGACCCUGCUGAUCAAAGCUGA
Molecule: ribosomal RNA, 1326 nt
Filed under: Triticum aestivum (bread wheat)
Lineage: Eukaryota; Viridiplantae; Streptophyta; Magnoliopsida; Poales; Poaceae
Description: partial small subunit ribosomal RNA
Source: RNAcentral